This 903-nucleotide ribosomal RNA is filed under the name Salmonella enterica. RNAcentral describes it as "partial 23S ribosomal RNA". It matches the Rfam family "Bacterial large subunit ribosomal RNA", at positions 1255 to 2141 of the family's 2925-position model. RNAcentral also lists the same sequence under 1 other name. Lineage: Bacteria; Pseudomonadati; Pseudomonadota; Gammaproteobacteria; Enterobacterales; Enterobacteriaceae. The record is from RNAcentral.
GGUGUGUCGUGAGGCAUGCUGGAGGUAUCAGAAGUGCGAAUGCUGACAUAAGUAACGAUAAAGCGGGUGAAAAGCCCGCUCGCCGGAAGACCAAGGGUUCCUGUCCAACGUUAAUCGGGGCAGGGUGAGUCGACCCCUAAGGCGAGGCCGAAAGGCGUAGUCGAUGGGAAACGGGUUAAUAUUCCCGUACUUGGUGUUACUGCGAAGGGGGGACGGAGAAGGCUAUGUUGGCCGGGCGACGGUUGUCCCGGUUUAAGCGUGUAGGUGUGUGUUCCAGGUAAAUCCGGUUCACUUUAACACUGAGGCGUGACGACGAGGCACUACGGUGCUGAAGCAACAAAUGCCCUGCUUCCAGGAAAAGCCUCUAAGCAUCAGGUAACAUCAAAUCGUACCCCAAACCGACACAGGUGGUCAGGUAGAGAAUACCAAGGCGCUUGAGAGAACUCGGGUGAAGGAACUAGGCAAAAUGGUGCCGUAACUUCGGGAGAAGGCACGCUGACACGUAGGUGAAGUGAUUUACUCAUGGAGCUGAAGUCAGUCGAAGAUACCAGCUGGCUGCAACUGUUUAUUAAAAACACAGCACUGUGCAAACACGAAAGUGGACGUAUACGGUGUGACGCCUGCCCGGUGCCGGAAGGUUAAUUGAUGGGGUCAGCGCAAGCGAAGCUCCUGAUCGAAGCCCCGGUAAACGGCGGCCGUAACUAUAACGGUCCUAAGGUAGCGAAAUUCCUUGUCGGGUAAGUUCCGACCUGCACGAAUGGCGUAAUGAUGGCCAGGCUGUCUCCACCCGAGACUCAGUGAAAUUGAACUCGCUGUGAAGAUGCAGUGUACCCGCGGCAAGACGGAAAGACCCCGUGAACCUUUACUAUAGCUUGACACUGAACAUUGAGCCUUGAUGUGUAG